UACGUAGGUGGCAAGCGUUGUCCGGAAUUAUUGGGCGUAAAGCGCGCGCAGGCGGUCCUUUAAGUCUGAUGUGAAAGCCCACGGCUCAACCGUGGAGGGUCAUUGGAAACUGGGGGACUUGAGUACAGAAGAGAAGAGUGGAAUUCCACGUGUAGCGGUGAAAUGCGUAGAGAUGUGGAGGAACACCAGUGGCGAAGGCGACUCUGUGGUCUGUAACUGACACUGAGGCGCGAAAGCGUGGGGAGCAAACAGG
Molecule: ribosomal RNA, 253 nt
Filed under: uncultured bacterium
Lineage: Bacteria
Description: partial 16S ribosomal RNA
Rfam family: Bacterial small subunit ribosomal RNA
Source: RNAcentral